RNAcentral lists this ribosomal RNA (960 nucleotides) under uncultured bacterium. RNAcentral describes it as "bacterial SSU rRNA". It matches the Rfam family "Bacterial small subunit ribosomal RNA", at positions 64 to 1038 of the family's 1533-position model. The record is from RNAcentral.
GAGAUCCAACCAGUGGCAACACUGGGGAAGAUCUAGUGGCGAACGGGUGAGUAACACGUGAGGAACCUGCCCCGAAGUCUGGGAUAAGCCCUCGAAAGGGGGUCUAAUACCGGAUGUCCUCAUCAGGUCGCAUGGCCGGAUGAGGAAAGGUCCGCUGCUUCGGGAGGGCCUUGCGGCCUAUCAGCUUGUUGGUGAGGUAACGGCUCACCAAGGCUACGACGGGUAGCUGGUCUGAGAGGACAAUCAGCCACACUGGGACUGAGACACGGCCCAGACUCCUACGGGAGGCAGCAGUGGGGAAUCUUGCGCAAUGGGCGAAAGCCUGACGCAGCAACGCCGCGUGCGGGAUGACGGCCUUCGGGUUGUAAACCGCUUUCAGUGGGGACGAAAUCAGACGGUACCCACAGAAGAAGCCCCGGCCAACUACGUGCCAGCAGCCGCGGUAACACGUAGGGGGCGAGCGUUGUCCGGAUUCAUUGGGCGUAAAGCGCGCGUAGGCGGCCCGGUAAGUCCGCUGUAAAAGUCAAAGGCUCAACCUUUGAAAGCCGGUGGAUACUGUCGGGCUAGAGUCCGGAAGAGGCGAGUGGAAUUCCUGGUGUAGCGGUGGAAUGCGCAGAUAUCAGGAGGAACACCAACGGCGAAGGCAGCUCGCUGGGACGGUACUGACGCUGAGGCGCGAAAGCGUGGGGAGCGAACAGGAUUAGAUACCCUGGUAGUCCACGCCGUAAACGAUGGGUGCUAGGUGUGGGCGGUGUCGACUCCGUCCGUGCCGAAGCUAACGCAUUAAGCACCCCGCCUGGGGAGUACGGCCGCAAGGCUAAAACUCAAGGAAUUGACGGGGGCCCGCACAAGCAGCGGAGCAUGUGGUUUAUGUCGACGCAACGCGAAGAACCUUACCAAGGCUUGACAUGCACCGGAAACCUCUGGAAACAGGGGCUCCCUUCGGGGCCGGUGCACAGG